RNAcentral lists this long non-coding RNA (500 nucleotides) under Heterocephalus glaber (naked mole-rat). Its description in RNAcentral is "lncRNA (ENSHGLG00000049288.1)". The record is from RNAcentral. Lineage: Eukaryota; Metazoa; Chordata; Mammalia; Rodentia; Bathyergidae.
AGCAAGUGGAGGAAGUCUAGAGGAAAGCACAGACCUUUAACAGACAGAAACUACCAUCCUGUGUGGAAAGUGCUAAGAGACCUGAAUAGAGUGAUCUGGGGAAGGAAGCCUUUGCAACCGUUAUUGGAGAGCCAGGAGUCACCAAACAGGGAUCUUGGUGACCAGGGCUUCAAGCUGCUGUCAGGAAAAAGAAUGGCUACCAGGCCUGCACAGGACUUUACCUGGGCUGGAGUAAGCCCUCAUUGUGAUACAGAGCUGAGAGACCCUCUUACACAUCUUCAGUAGGAGCCCUGAACAAGAAUGCUUGAAGCAGCAGUGUUUAUCAUAGCAAGACCUCGAAUUGACUAAAACACUUCUGUCCAGAAUACAUGUGACAUGGAAGAAGCAAAGUCAGCCAGAGCAGCAGGUUGGAGAGGACAUGCACUGUACCAGGAACUGCAGACUCCAGAGAAUGCCAAGGCUGUGGUCCAUUCCAGAUGAUAAGGGCUCCAUGGGUAGCG